This is an RNA transcript of Xenopus tropicalis (tropical clawed frog), 2768 nucleotides long. It is a transcript of the gene named rho GTPase-activating protein 42, with no coding region annotated. Lineage: Eukaryota; Metazoa; Chordata; Amphibia; Anura; Pipidae. The transcript is spliced from 5 exons. The record is from RefSeq and is a predicted model, not a curated record.
UGCGUGUAUAUUUACUGUGACAUAAAUGUGGGAAUCAUAUGCUCCCCACACCAUGUUAGAGGGCCUCUUGCUUUCACAUUGCCUCCAUUAUAUGGACUGCAACGCCUAUAGUGUUUAACAGAUAACCCGCUUCCAGCCAGUCCUGAUUCAUAUAACGUACCGGGCAUAAGGCAGGCCAGUUUCUACAUUGUUUCAAAAAGGCCCCUCACAUAGAUUAUAACUGCCCAUAUACAUCAUUCUGACUGCUUCAUUAGCGCUUUUAUCCACUGGUGGGACUGAGAAGGGGAAGGUAGGUGCUACAUAUAUCAGAAAAGCAGGUAGGCAACAGCUAAGCAGAGAGCCGGCACUACCCAAGGCAGAUAGUAGGUUUGGGGAGAGUUACUGCAAGGCUUUUGGGACACUGCAGAAAGGCCUCUAUAAUUUGCCUGGCUGUUUUUCCAGCUUUAGCAUGUGGUAUUACUGUAGUCACUUUAUCUCCUUUGAUUUAAGAUUAAAAAAGCUACCAAUACAAAGGUUGACUAGGUCACAUUGUGUACAAUUCCACCCAGUAGCAAAAUUCUGGAAGGCCCGUCUUUGCAGUUAGGACCCAAUUUUGGCAAUUUACCUUCAGAACAAAUCAGACAGCAAAUUAGGAGCGGGCAGAAUAAAGGUGGGGCAGGCAGAAUCCACCCCUUAUUCCACCACAUAUAGUUAUACAGUUUAGUCAUUUCCCUAUGGUGCUUAGGGAUGUCAUCAGUUAUAAUCGGAGCUUAGUGAUGUACUUUCUAGGGAUGCGCCGAUUCCAGGAUUCGGGCAAAAUUCUGCCUUUUUUGGCAAGAUUCAAAUUCGGCCGAAUCAAAUCCGAAUCCUUAAAAUCACUUGACUUUUUGCCACACAAACACCCUUGUGGAGUCUAUUUUGCGUAUGCACAUUAGGAUUUGGUUCGGUAUUCAGCCAAAUGUGUCACAAAGGAUUCAGGAUUCGGGCGAAUAUGAAAAUAGUGGGUUCCGUGCAUCCUUAGUAGUUUCUGCCACGUGACUUACUAAAACCUGUAUAUUAUAAUAAAUAAAGUACCCUGUGUUGUAAAAUAUGAGGAUAUUAGAUGUCACCUCGGCCUUCUUGGUGACUUAUAAUAUCCUUAUAUUUUACAAUACUUUAUUCACUAUAUAAUCUACAUAUCUCCACAUUUGGCCUUUGGCCAAAAAAGUAGAGGCCCCUGCCAUUGCCUGCCAGCUGAAUAACUCCUCCAAGCUCCAUUGUUAAAGUCUGUGGAGGACAGAACAUAAAGUCUGCAAGCUAGUUCUUCUACUUAGAUCACAGGCUCUGCAAAGUCAUUGAAAAGGGAAGUUGCUAAAAGUGACCAGUUGCCCCCAAUUUUUAUAUCACAUAAGGGUGACCAGCAGAGACUCUAUAUCACUUAAACCUAGCCUGCCUAAGCUUCUCUGUCCUACCAAAAACAAGCAGCUGCUAAGAAGUCACUCUCGGCAAGUGGUUUGAUGUACUACUAGCCCAAUAAGCACCUUGCUUCAGGAAGAACAACUUUCAUCAGGAAAUGCAAGUGUGGGAGCUUGUCUUUAAAUGUUGGUACCCAAGAGAAUCAGAUGAUCAGAACUACAGGGUACAAGCAGUCCAUGCCCUUGUCCAUAAGUUGCCUGAAAAGAACCGUGAGAUGCUGGACAUCUUAAUCAAGCACCUUGUCAAGGUAUCCAUGCACAGCCAACAAAACCUAAUGACCAUCUCUAAUCUUGGCGUCAUCUUUGGGCCAACUUUAAUGAGAGCGCAGGAAGAAACCGGAGCCGCAAUGAUGAACAUCACGUUCCAGAAUAUAGUGGUGGAAAUUCUAAUUGAGCACUAUGAAAAGGGACCUGUUCUAUAACCACAGGAACAUUAGGCGAUUCCUACAGCAGCAGCCCAUCCAGCACCCCCAUAGGAAGCAUCGAAUCCCUGUCUUCCCAUUCGUCAGAGCAAAACAGCACAACAAAAUCAGUGUCAUUGCCUCAAAGGGAUAAGAAAGGAGUUGGGAUCCCAUGGGUGACCUCUGCACCUUCAUCUAAUGGCCAAAAAGGUUCUAGCUUUUGGACUACAAGUCCCGAGUCAAGCUCCAAAGAUGAUACAACAAAAACAGAUGUGGAGUCAGAUUGUCAGAGUGUUUCCUCCAUCACCAGUCCUGGAAAUGCCUCCCCUCCCAUUGACCUGACCAAGAAGAGCCUUUAUGGCUUGUCGGGGCUUAAACGUUCCCAAGCCCCCUCCCUUCGAUCCUUAUCUUCUACCGAAGCUAUUGGCAUAAAAAGUCGAAGCCCGUCUACACAGAGUCUGACCUCUCUGGACCUGCAGGAUGUUCCGAAGGUUCAUCCAGAACUGUCUCCAAAAAUCAUGAGAAGAUGACUGGACACGGGUUCAAGCAACGGCUACCAAAGGCCAGGUUCAGUGUAAGACUGACAGUUGUUCCUUAUAACCACAUGAUCAGCUAUAAAAGACAGACCCCUCCGACCUGGCUGAUGCGUUGAUGCAGCUCAUCAGUGGACUAUGGGGAUAUAAAGAGUAACUUUUGCUAUGCAGGGGCUGGGGAAGGGUAUCAUUUGUAGCACUGACAAUCCCUACAGGACGUACACCCUAUCGUCACUGGGGAUGGGUUUCUAAAUGAUUCGAUCAGUAGAUAAAGGGAACUCUGGCUUCUGAACAAAAAUUUCUUAAAGAGCCAACACAACACAGAAACACCUAAUACACCUGUAACUGUAAUCUGUCCCUUCAAAACUUAUGAAUAAAUGCUGAAAUCCAACUGCAAAAAA